This 492-nucleotide ribosomal RNA is filed under the name uncultured bacterium. RNAcentral's name for it is "partial 16S ribosomal RNA". It matches the Rfam family "Bacterial small subunit ribosomal RNA", at positions 29 to 507 of the family's 1533-position model. The record is from RNAcentral.
AGUGAACGCUGGCGGUAGGCCUAACACAUGCAAGUCGAACGGCAGCACAGUAAGAGCUUGCUCUUACGGGUGGCGAGUGGCGGACGGGUGAGGAAUACAUCGGAAUCUACUUUUUCGUGGGGGAUAACGUAGGGAAACUUACGCUAAUACCGCAUACGACCUACGGGUGAAAGCAGGGGAUCUUCGGACCUUGCGCGAUUGAAUGAGCCGAUGUCGGAUUAGCUAGUUGGCGGGGUAAAGGCCCACCAAGGCGACGAUCCGUAGCUGGUCUGAGAGAAUGAUCAGCCACACUGGAACUGAGGCACGGUCCAGACUCCUACGGGAGGCAGCAGUGGGGAAUAUUGGACAAUGGGCGCAAGCCUGAUCCAGCCAUACCGCGUGGGUGAAGAAGGCCUUCGGGUUGUAAAGCCCUUUUGUUGGGAAAGAAAAGCAGCAGGUUAAUACCCCGCUGUUCUGACGGUACCCAAAGAAUAAGCACCGGCUAACUUCGUG